RNAcentral lists this ribosomal RNA (487 nucleotides) under uncultured Actinomycetes bacterium. RNAcentral describes it as "bacterial SSU rRNA". It matches the Rfam family "Bacterial small subunit ribosomal RNA", at positions 392 to 896 of the family's 1533-position model. The record is from RNAcentral. Lineage: Bacteria; Bacillati; Actinomycetota; Actinomycetes.
CAACGCCGCGUGCGGGAGUGAAGGCCUCGGGUUGUAAACCGCUUUCAGCAGGGAUGAAACUGACAGUACCUGCAGAAGAAGCCCCGGCUAACUACGUGCCAGCAGCCGCGGUAAUACGUAGGGGGCGAGCGUUAUCCGGAUUCAUUGGGCGUAAAGAGCGCGUAGGCGGCUUGUUAAGCGAGAUGUGAAAACCGGGGGCUUAACCCGCGGCCUGCAUCUCGAACUGGCAGGCUUGAGUCUGGUAGAGGAGUGUGGAAUCCCCAGUGUAGCGGUGAAAUGCGCAGAUAUUGGGAGGAACACCAGUGGCGAAGGCGGCACUCUGGGCCACGACUGACGCUGAGGCGCGAAAGCUAGGGGAGCGAACAGGAUUAGAUACCCUGGUAGUCCUAGCCGUAAACGAUGGGCACUAGGUGUGGGGGGUAUAACUCCCUCCGUGCCGCAGCUAACGCAUUAAGUGCCCCGCCUGGGGAGUACGGCCGCAAGGCUA